GUGGAAGUAGUUUAUUAAAAAUGUUGCUUUGUGGACGCAAAGAUAAGCUUACAGUUUCUUUCAUA
RNAcentral lists this transfer RNA (65 nucleotides) under Nuttallia olivacea. Its description in RNAcentral is "tRNA-His". The record is from RNAcentral. Lineage: Eukaryota; Metazoa; Mollusca; Bivalvia; Cardiida; Psammobiidae.